UGGUUCUGGCAUNGAUGAAGAACGCAGCGAAAUGCGAUAAGUAAUGUGAAUUGCAGAAUUCAGUGAAUCAUCGAAUCUUUGAACGCACAUUGCGCCCUCUGGUAUUCCGGGGGGCAUGCCUGUUCGAGCGUCAUUACAACCCUCAAGCUCUGCUUGGUAUUGGGUGUCACCCUUUGGGGCGCACCUUAAAAUCAGUGGCGGCGCCACUCGGCUUCAAGCGUAGUAAUUCUUCUCGCUCUGGAGGACCGGGUGUGCUCUUGCCAGCAACCCCCCAAUUUUUUUUAAGGUUGACCUCGGAUCAGGUAGGGAUACCCGCUGA
RNAcentral lists this unclassified non-coding RNA (319 nucleotides) under uncultured fungus. Its description in RNAcentral is "partial contains 5.8S ribosomal RNA and internal transcribed spacer 2". The stretch from base 1 to 133 matches the Rfam family "5.8S ribosomal RNA", at positions 22 to 154 of the family's 154-position model. Lineage: Eukaryota; Fungi. The record is from RNAcentral.